RNAcentral lists this transfer RNA (75 nucleotides) under Indicator xanthonotus. Its description in RNAcentral is "tRNA-Asn". It matches the Rfam family "tRNA". Rfam says of the family: Transfer RNA (tRNA) molecules are approximately 80 nucleotides in length. Their secondary structure includes four short double-helical elements and three loops (D, anti-codon, and T loops). Further hydrogen bonds mediate the characteristic L-shaped molecular structure. tRNAs have two regions of fundamental functional importance: the anti-codon, which is responsible for specific mRNA codon recognition, and the 3' end, to which the tRNAs corresponding amino acid is attached (by aminoacyl-tRNA synthetases). tRNAs cope with the degeneracy of the genetic code in two manners: having more than one tRNA (with a specific anti-codon) for a particular amino acid; and 'wobble' base-pairing, i.e. permitting non-standard base-pairing at the 3rd anti-codon position. Lineage: Eukaryota; Metazoa; Chordata; Aves; Piciformes; Indicatoridae. The record is from RNAcentral.
UAGACAGAAGCCUGUGAGGUUUAAGGCGUUUAGCUGUUAACUAGGAGUUUGUGGGAUCGAGGCCCACCUGUCUAG